GCUAGUGUAGCUUAAUGCAAAGCAUAACACUGAAGAUGUUAAGACGGGCCCUAGAAAGCUCCGCAUGCA
Molecule: transfer RNA, 69 nt
Filed under: Rhodeus albomarginatus
Lineage: Eukaryota; Metazoa; Chordata; Actinopteri; Cypriniformes; Acheilognathidae
Description: tRNA-Phe
Rfam family: tRNA
About the family: Transfer RNA (tRNA) molecules are approximately 80 nucleotides in length. Their secondary structure includes four short double-helical elements and three loops (D, anti-codon, and T loops).
Source: RNAcentral